GGGGUCAAAGAUUUCAGUCAUAUUCGGGUAUUUUUAAAUUUUGGUUCGGGUUCGGUUCGGAUCUUUGCAGAUAUUUUUCGGAUUUGGAUAACACAUUUAAAUGAUUUUUAAAAUUUUAAAAUUCAUUAUAUACUUUAAAUUUCUCAAAAUCAAUAAAUAAAAUAAGAUAUUGCAUAUAAAUUUGAAUAACAUAUGUUAAAAUACCUAAAAUUAACAUAUAAAUUGAUUUGGUUUGAAUAUUUUGAUAGAGAAUCAAUAGAUAUUUAUAGUAUUUUUGGUGUUUGGAGUAUAUUUUAUCUAUUUUAAUUUAGAUAUUUAUUUUUGAAUAUUUGUAUAUUUUUCAAGUAUUUUAAACAACUUAAAAAUAUCUUAUAUAUUUUGGAUGUUUUUAAUAUACAUUAAAUCUAAAAAUAAUUAAUAUAUUUAGGUAUAUAAAUCUAUUUCGGAUACAUUCGGGUAAAUCUAAAAAUAAUUAAUAUAUUUAGGUAUAUAAAUCUAU
RNAcentral lists this long non-coding RNA (499 nucleotides) under Brassica napus (rape). RNAcentral describes it as "long non-coding RNA (BNAP_LNC017048)". The record is from RNAcentral. Lineage: Eukaryota; Viridiplantae; Streptophyta; Magnoliopsida; Brassicales; Brassicaceae.